GGUGCCUGCGUUAUACCCACGGACGCGUGUGCCGACUCCCGGUCUCCCGAGAACCUAAAGUCGGUGACCGGUUCCAGCGUGAUAUGCACUCGAGCGUGUGUUCCUUUCCUCGCCUCGUCUUCUGCGAUGACGCCCCGGUUCUCCGAUCGCUGGCACCGGCAUCGACUCCGGCGUUGCCGCCCCCCACCGUGCCCGUUUGUUCGUCCGCACUUCCAUCCAUGCUUCCCGGUUGGCAUGGGAGCCGCUGACGAAGAUAUUGAUUCUUGGGUGAUUAGGUAUGUUCAAAGCUGAUCGUGGAAAGCGAAUCCACCGCUGUCAACGGUCAUCGACGGCUGCCGGAGCUCUUGGUAUCCUCGGAGAGGAGGUUGGGUAGGCAGGGUUUGCACUUCUUGCGUCGGACGGAGAUAGGGUUUCCCCAGGCUUGCUUGAAACAACAGACCUCCCAAACUCGAAAUAUCUUUGAAAUGUAAAAUUUACAACCUAGUCACGUUUCCAACACAUUCCUCCAUAAUCUUGGUACGCUCCAUCGGUGGUUAAUUCAUCUUCAUAACCUUCCACACCAAGUAGAGCCUCUGUUGUUAGUAUACAUCCAAGAGCUUGAGAACGCUCCGAGUCUCUAUCACAGGAGCAGCCUACACUUGCUGAGGCAAGAUAAUUGCUUGCUCGAAGGGUAAAAGCACAGAUGAGUUGAGAAAACCUUUGACCGACAAGGAGACAUACAGUACCUUUUUCAACUCUCUUGACCAGGCGAAAAAUUGAAUUUGAGAGUCACACUGAAUUGCUUACUUUUCAUUCCGUUUUUCAUGUUCAAUAGUGUUUCUCUAAAGCGUUCUUUUAUGACAACUGAAUUCUUAAAUCAGCUUUGUCACCCUCUCUUUUCGGCAUAAGUUGAUAGGGAAACUUUUCUUAGCUGGGUUCAGUUUAUUUUGCCCCAUAUCGAUAUUGACCCAUUUGUCAAUAGCAUUUCUGCUACCAUUCAGUUGCCAUUCGCUAGCAUCAAUGAUUUUCUUACAAUAUUAUAAGCAUGAAAAGACUUGUGUUCACCAAUCUCAGCAUGCCAAUGAGUGGCAGAUGGAUCUUCACACAAUGAUUUUCUUAGGGCUGUCAAUAGAUUUGGUCGGAAUAGAGAUCUGACUUAAAAGAAAAAAGAUGCUCGAGCUUAUGAAAGCAGGACCUUAGGUCCUGUUCAAGCAUGUGACCUUGAAGUCCAAAUUAGUUUGGGCAAGGGCCUAGCUUGACAAGGAGCCAAAUCUCAAGGUAUGCAAGCCUCGCCGGUUCUGUAUUAGGCAUGAGGUUUCAACCCUAGUUUGAAAUAAGGCCAAAGCUCAGCUUGGCCCAUUGACACAUUUGACCAUCUAUGGAAUUCCAAUUCUCAGCUAUACACCCAAAUCUUACCACUUGUGAGCCCAUUUUCUUCUUUUGUUUUACAAAACAAAAAGAAAAGAAAAAUGUGAGCUAAUAAGUAAUAUGUUACAGCAAAUCUUUCUCUCGUAUCCCUUUGAACCAUCGUUACAAGCAUACAAUAAUAGUCCUUUGCAUGUCAUGGAAAAAUAACCAGCCAACCACAAGAAUGUUCUCUUCUUUGUGAGUGUAAGUCACCCAUGCACUUUUGAAGAGUGCCAUAAAUUAUAAAUAUAUUGCAAAAUAAGUAAAAUUAUCUCCAGCAAGCGAUGUUGACCAUUAAUAUCUCCAACAACUAGUUUGGCAUAUAAUAUAGUCAAGUAUCUUCUAUACCUUCUCACUUCCCCAAUCCAGCCUUGUUCAAAUGCAGACAUCUCCAACAAUAACAUGCCUUGCACUAUGCAGCCCUGCAUUUGACCCUAAAAGGUGAUUUAUCUCCAUUGGUGAGUGCUUCACAAGUGUUACUUGACCUGGCAACUUGUCCCAACGAUAGGCACUGAACAAUAGAAAAGAGCCACAUAUUAGGCUUAGUCCUACACAUACCUUCAAGCUCACUGACGUCAAUAGGGAUGCCCGAAGGUCGAUGCAUUUUUUUUAUCCUUUUAUCUUUAAGAGAGAGAGAGAGAGAUUAUUAUAAAUUAUCCAAGUUCAAAUACUGGAAGAUUCAUUUGAUCUUUUCAGGAGUAGAGGUGUGGCCACUGCAGCAAAGGCCAGUUAAUUAAGAUUGGCCAUUUGACAUAAGAAAUUUUUUAACUAAACUAGCCUAUUAAAUUGGUAGGUUGAUACCAAAAAUAGGCUCGUUUGGAUUAGUACUAGAGCCUAAACCAAUCAACAUUAGUUUUUUUUUUGAGUAAAUUACAAAAAUUCCCUUGAGGUUUAUGUUUAUUACACUUAUGCCUACUAGUUUAUAAAACCUACAUUUGCACCUAGUUAAAUUAAUAGCGUUAGUAAAUCCGUUUACCACAUAGAAAAAGUCAAAAUUGCCCCUACACGAUGAGUGAAUUGCAAAAAGCUCUAAGAUUAGGGGUAAAUUAUACUUACAUUCAAUAGUUUGAAAAAUCUACACUUAUCCUCCUGGGGUUUGUUUUUAUCCAACACUUUAAUCCAUAAUUUAAUAGAAUGUUAGCUAAACCAUUAACUUAAAUGGGACUAAAUGUCACGUUAGAAAAAAUUUAAUAAAUGACGAAACUAGCCUUAAGUGAUAUAACAUUUAUCCAAGGAGGAGAACAACUGUCAGGCGCCAUGGGUCUGAGCUUGAUCUUGAUGAAUUAUCAAAAAAGAGCCAUGUGUCAAGAAAAAAAUAAUUUAGAUCUCUUAAGCAAGUGGAUGUCUCUAAAAUUUUCUGUUGCAGAAACUAACAUUAAGAGUUUUGUCACUUGAGCCAGCCUGUCAAUGGUCCAAGCCAAGCUAUGGAAUCGCAACUGAUGCAACAUCCAAAAAGAAGAGUUCUCAUGCACGUAUUGAUUUGGAUCCUCUUGAUGAUAGCAUGCUAGAGCUAUAUAUAUAGGAAUUCUCAUUCACAGCGACAAUAUUAAGAAAUCAUAUCUAUAGUAUUGGACAAGUAGAACUCAAAAUCAGCAAAUAAAACACCGACAUCCCGAUUUCUAUGAUGUGGUGGGUGGGGAAGUGAGUACAAAAUCUGAUUAGAAAGGAUGAAGGCUGGUCAGGAAGGAUGCUCGUCGUCGGACGUCGGUUGGGAAGGAAGCUUGUUGUUGGUCGCUCGACGAGAAGGGACGCUUGUAGUGGGGGGUGAAGCGGGAAAGAACCCCUAGCCGCUUAAUCUCGAAGAGAAGAAGACUCUUGAAGAUGUAAUAUUUUGAAGAGUUUCGAGAGUCGGAAAAGUGAAAGAGGAGCUUUAUUUUUUUAUAGAGGUAAUUUUGACUUUUUACAAUAGAUAAACAGUUUCACUAACGCUGUUAAUGUAAAUGAGUGUAAGUGUAUGUUUUUAUAAAAUAUUGGGUGUAAGUGUAAUAAACAUAAACCUCAAAAAGGUUUUUUUAAGAUUAUUUUGGCCAUUUUCAAAAAUUUUUCUGACAUGGCAUUUGGGUCCUAUUAAAAGUUAAUGGCUUGACUAACAUUGUUAAGUUAUGGGUUGAAGUAUUGGAUAAAAAUAAACCUCAGGAGGGUAAGUGUAGGUUUUUCAUACUAUUGGGUAUAAGUGUAAUUUACUCCUAAUCUCAGGGUGCUUUUCGUAAUUUACUCCUUUUUUUUGAGAGAGAGAGCAACCACUGCAAGGUAUAUUUGCAGUUCAAAUAGGACUAGAACCUACACAAGUUGCAGUUAGGUAUUUUUUGUAAAGAAAAAUCACUUGCAGGUAUAUUAGCAUCCAAAUAGGAUAGUUUAGCAAACCCAAAACCAUACAAAUCUGGGCCCAAGUAAGCUGGACCUUGUCUACAACUGAUCUAACCUUGGCUUUACUUUUAUUAUUUACUGAUAUAAAUUUUAAACUUUAAAAAUUUAUUCUCUAAAAAAGAAAUUAUAUAAAACUAUAGUUUGACUGGCUAUAUGUUUCUUCUCAUUCCCUGAACUUCCAAGCAAGCUAAGCCUUGUCUGGAAGAAAAUGAGAACCCCUCUCCAUCAUUCCCUACUCCCCACCCCAAUAGGCAGCAUCAAUAUGGAUUUAGGUUGCUGAUAGAAAGAAUUCAUAUCAUAAAUAAAAUUCAAGCACUCGAAAUUUCCCAGUCCUAGAAGGAGUACUUAUAGAAAGAGUCCACAUUCUAGUCAUAUGUAGACCUGAAGUUAUAGUCUUACAGUUUAACCGUUGAGUUUAAAUACUAGCACUCAUGCUGAUAUCAAAAUCAAAGAAGAGAAUUUCUUUUAUAAAAAAAAAGUUGCACCAUCCAUCUAGUGUUCCAUCCUCUACCCUUUGUUUUUGUACAAUAGGAGAGAAUUUGGUGGGUAAUAUACCUGGAAGACAAUUACUUCAACCUAGGAAUUUGUAGGCUCUCCAAUACUUUAACCAUUUUUGCUAAAAGAUCUAUUCCUACAUAUAUAAGCAGAGAGAGAGAUGCUGCUGCAGGCCAACUCAUCAGAGAGAGAGAGAGAGAGAGAGAGAGAGAGAGAGAUCGAUCCUGACAUUUACAAAUGCAUUUAAUUUGCUUUUAUUUAUUUAUUUAUUUAUGUAUUUUUAUUUUUAUUUAUUUGAGCCUUUUUCUUCCCAUGAUGUCUAUCAUAUAAAAGCUGAAUGUAGAUACAAACUCUCUCCUUUGGUUUUGUCAUCACAGAAGACUCUGUUCGUCCUUUGUUUCUUCUGUUUCUUUUGUGAAGACUUUUAUCCUGCUGUCGCAGAUGGAGACAGAGGACUGUUCUAUGCCAUGUCGUCACCAUUCAUCCCUUUAUAUUGAGUUGUCGGUGAGGCGGUAACCGUUCAUCCCUUUAUAUUGAGUUGUUGGCGAGGCGGUCUCAUUCAUCUAUUCUGUCUGGUUUCCAUCCUCACCAACUUCUGCAAUGGAGAAAUCCUUUUCUCCUCUUCCCUUCCUCCUCCUUUAUCUACUCUUCUGCCUCUCUCUGUUCCAUAUUAAGUUUGUUAGUGCCUUUGGAACUGUUGAUGGAUCGGAGCAGUGGGGCUAUGUUCAAGUCCGCCCGAAAGCCCACAUGUUCUGGUGGCUUUACCGGAGUCCACAAAGAGUUGAGAAUGCUUCAACUCCAUGGCCUACAGUACUCUGGCUGCAGGGUGGACCUGGAGGGUCAGGUGUCGGGAUUGGGAACUUCCAAGAGAUCGGACCGUUGGAUACCAGUCUAAAGCCACGAAAUUCGACAUGGCUGCAAAAAGCUGAUCUCCUUUUUGUGGACAACCCAGUUGGGACUGGAUACAGUUUUGUAGAGGAUGAAAAGCUUCUGGUAAAGACUGAUUGGGAGGCAGCAACUGACUUACUUACCCUUCUCAAGAAGCUCUACAAUAAGAACGGGAGCUUACAAAAAAGUCCGCUCUUCAUUGUGUCAGAGUCUUAUGGAGGAAAAUUUGCUGUGACUCUUGGCUUAUUGGUUGUCAAAGCCAUUAAGGCUGGAAGAUUGAAACUUAAACUUGGAGGAGUUGUUUUGGGAGAUAGCUGGAUUUCGCCAGAAGAUUUCGUGUUCUCGUGGGGACCUCUGCUUUUAGAUGUCUCAAGGCUCGGUAUCAAUGAUGCGAACAGAUCAAACAGUGUAGCUGAAACGAUUAGACAACAACUAGUGGAAGGGCAGUAUUUCGAGGCCACAAUAACAUGCCAAACUCUGCAGAGUCAGAUUGUCAGGGACAGUCACGGUGUUGAUUUUUAUAAUUUCUUGCGGGAUGUUGGAAGCUACCCUAUCUCUGGGAUGGCAGUGGCAUUAUCAGAGAAAAUAGACAUGAAGAAGAGUUACUCGAUGUAUCUCAGCUCCAAUGCUUCCUCUCUUGAUCUUGGUAGUCUCAUGAAUGGUGUAAUUAAGGAGAAGCUAAAGAUAAUCCCCAAGAAUAUAAGUUGGGGUGGACAGUUCAAUUCCGUCUUUAACGCUCUGAUGAACGAGAACAUGAAACCCAGGAUCAAUGAGGUUGAUGAGCUACUAUCCCUGGGAGUCAAUGUCACUAUCUAUAAUGGACAAGUAUGAAUUCCGUCAACUCACUUCAUUGUAGUCUUCACUAAGUGACCCAAAAAAAGUUGGCUACCCCUGGAAUGAUGCAAAUACAUUAUAAAAGCUAAAGUCACCUAUUACUGGGAAAAGAAAAUUCUGAGGAACAUGUAGUAACAUCUAUGGUAUAGAUGUUGCACACAUGAAUACCUCUUAUGUAUUUAAGAUUUGUUUUCCCCCAACUUAAGAGGCUUUGUGAACGAUACACUC
Phoenix dactylifera (date palm) is the source of this 6198-nucleotide non-coding RNA. The record is from RefSeq and is a predicted model, not a curated record. Lineage: Eukaryota; Viridiplantae; Streptophyta; Magnoliopsida; Arecales; Arecaceae.